RNAcentral lists this ribosomal RNA (460 nucleotides) under uncultured bacterium. Its description in RNAcentral is "SSU rRNA". It matches the Rfam family "Bacterial small subunit ribosomal RNA", at positions 26 to 518 of the family's 1533-position model. The record is from RNAcentral.
AGAAUCAACGCUGGCGGCGUGCCUAACACAUGCAAGUCGCACGAGAAAGGGAGUUCGCUCCUGAGUAAAGUGGCGCACGGGUGAGUAACACGUGAAUCAUCUACCUCCGAAUGGGGAAUAACUGAGAGAAAUCUUAGCUAAUACCGCAUAAUACCUACGGGUCAAAGCAGCAAUGCGUUUGGAGAGGAGUUCGCGGUCGAUUAGUUAGUUGGCGGGGUAAUGGCCCACCAAGACGAUGAUCGAUAUCCGGCCUGAGAGGGCGCACGGACACACUGGAACUGAAACACGGUCCAGACUCCUACGGGAGGCAGCAGUGGGGAAUUUUGCGCAAUGGGGGAAACCCUGACGCAGCAACGCCGCGUGGAGGAUGAAAUAUCUUGGUAUGUAAACUCCUUUCGAUGGGGAAGAUAAUGACGGUACCCAUAGAAGAAGCCCCGGCUAACUUCGCGCCAGCAGCCGC